GGGGGUGACCUGGUUUCGACGGAGUGUGUGAGUAAUCGCUUGCCAUCCGAGGUUGGUCUAACGGCCUCGUAAAAAAUAGACCAAAAAACAAAAGCCAACGAAAAUCUGGCUAUCGCAGCCUAAUUAGGCUGUGACGGUUCCCGGUAAAUUUCGCCAGUAAGAUGCCGAAGAACCGCCGACUAAACUGGCUGGAUGCCGCGUGGGGCUCCUGGCGUGCGUCAUCGAGACAAACCAGACGGAUCGGGUGAGUAGAGACCUGCCUGUGGGUUACGAAAACCUUAAACAAACAAAUUGCAGGACAUGAUGGUAGACGGCUCUUAUGAUCCUCUUCGGACGCGGGUUCGAUUCCCGCCACCUCCACUG
Molecule: transfer-messenger RNA, 363 nt
Filed under: Candidatus Rifleibacteriota bacterium
Lineage: Bacteria; Candidatus Rifleibacteriota
Also listed under: 1 other name
Rfam family: transfer-messenger RNA
About the family: Bacterial tmRNA, also known as 10Sa RNA or SsrA, is named for its dual tRNA and mRNA-like properties. Its role is to liberate the mRNA from a stalled ribosome. To accomplish this part of the tmRNA is used as a reading frame that ends in a translation stop signal.
Source: RNAcentral